RNAcentral lists this ribosomal RNA (207 nucleotides) under uncultured bacterium. Its description in RNAcentral is "partial 16S ribosomal RNA". It matches the Rfam family "Bacterial small subunit ribosomal RNA", at positions 568 to 774 of the family's 1533-position model. The record is from RNAcentral.
CACGUAGGCGGCUUUUUAAGUCAGGGGUGAAAUCCUGGAGCUCAACUCCAGAACUGCCCUUGAUACUGAGAGGCUUGAGUCCGGGAGAGGUGAGUGGAACUGCGAGUGUAGAGGUGAAAUUCGUAGAUAUUCGCAAGAACACCAGUGGCGAAGGCGGCUCACUGGCCCGGUACUGACGCUGAGGUGCGAAAGCGUGGGGAGCAAACA